RNAcentral lists this unclassified non-coding RNA (3376 nucleotides) under Leishmania donovani. RNAcentral describes it as "gene:LdHU3.21.2280(CDS-product:hypothetical_prote in_conserved)". Lineage: Eukaryota; Euglenozoa; Kinetoplastea; Trypanosomatida; Trypanosomatidae. The record is from RNAcentral.
CUCUGCCUCACGUGAGCGGAACUGCUGCUCCGACUCGUGCACCGUGCACACACACGCACCUUUUUUUUUUCGGAAGUGCGCUCUGUGGGCGCGUGGGCGACUCAUCGGCUCAUAUUUGCAUCGUUGUCGUGUGCUCGGCCGGCACUCUCUCGCGCGCAUACCUUCUCUUUCUAUGUGUGAUCUCGUAGCCACAUGGCUACAUAAAGAGGAGCGGGAGAGAUGGAGCAGAGCAUUCUCAAUCUGCAAGACUACACUGCCGCCUCCUCAUGGAGGAGGCGGGAUCAGUUGCGGGGUCUGCUGAGCAACCACGCAGACCUUGUGACGAGCCGCAUUCCACUCGCCGCCGAGGGUGUGCUCUUCACGUCAGCGCAGAUAGCACUGCACAACACGGAGAAGGGCUUGGCCGUCUCGCUAAGCCCUUUGAUGGGCACCAGUGCAGUAGGGCUGAUGCCCCUCGACGAGGCCGUGCCGUCGCUGAACGCCGCAGCGCGCAUGCGGUGGCUAGACAUGGCAGAGGGCACAAAGACCUCUUGCGUGGAGUGGUGUGAAGACCUGCUUUUCCUCGGCUCCAGCCGUGGUCGUGUGCUGGUGUGCGAUGUGCCAGUGGCGAGCUGCCGGGAGAGUAGCGGCCUAUUAUCUCCAUGUGGCGCGCUGCUGACCAGAUCUUCGGAGGUAGUGCUGUCUCGCGUUACCGUGCCGCCGAGCGCGCCGGCGUCCUCCACGCUGGUGCGCUCUGUUCGCGUCAACCAGUGCGUCAGCAAGACCAGCGUGCUCGCAGCACAGGACACGUCUGUUUAUCUGUGGGACCUGACAGGAGGAUCUCUGCCGGUGCAGCGGUGGCUUCCACACCGACAUAUCGACGCGGCGACGCCGGUCAUGUUCGCCGAGUGGGCUCCAGGGAGCGCGAGUGUGGUGCUGAGUGGCACCUAUGAUAGCAGCGUCAUGCUGGUAGACACGCGGAGCGCCGCAGCAAGCAACAGCGUAGCCUUCUCUUGCCGCCGCGCAGGCGGCUGUCCAGCCGUAGCGCACUGCGGUGACUUUAACCCGCUCCUGCCCUCCAUCGUUGCGGUUUCGUUUUCGGACGGCACCGUGGCCGUCUACGACGCCCGGUACCCACUGCAGGCGGUACAGACCGUAACGACCCUGCAGGGCGAUGCGGUGCGACUUCGAUGGUGGCGACACAACGCUGACUUGCUGACGACGGCCGGCAGUGAUGGCUCAGUGGCGCUAUGGAACCUGCGCUGCCCGCCAUCUUUCUGCGUUGGCAGGGCGCAGUACCAGAUGCCGCUUUCCGACUUGGCCAUGACGAACACGUUCUCAGAUCAACGGGCGAUCGGUAUAACCGUGGGUGGCGAGCUGACCAUGACAGGCCUGCAGCCGGAGGCGCUCAUGGGGCUGGCGCCAACCUUGUCCUACGGCAACGAUGAAGCCGAGCGCAGGGGCAGCGAGGGCCCCAGCAGAGGCAGCACUGCCUCGCCACCAACGCCGCCCAUCACUGCGGCUGAGGAGGAAGCCCUGCGUAAGGAGGAACACGACGCGUGCGGCUUCUUGUACUUGCGCCGGUUGAAGGAGGCGUACCAGAUGUUGGCUCAGUGCGCAAGUCGUCGCCUGGCGCUGCACCAGACAGACGUGGCGAUGCAGCUCAUUUCUCACAUUGAUGUGGUGCGGGUGCCGCUCUUCGACUACGCCGGCUUCGUCGAGCAGCUGCACAGCGCGGCAAAGGGGGUGGACGACGUGCUGCAGGUGCUGGAAGAGAAUGGGUGGUCCUAUGAAACGAUUCGGCUUCAGUUCGAGGCGAGCGUGCUUCACUGCUCCUCGCACCUCUCGACGACGGUGGCGCUGGAUCGCAUUCGGGCUAUGUCGAAGCCGAACCCCUCCGACGUGCAGACACUGGAGGCCCUUCGACUGAACGUGAUGCUGCACCGGGUGCUCGACUCCGAGGACGUCGAUCAGGUCGUCGUGAGCGUGCGCACCGCGCUCGACUUAAUCAUGGCACACCCGGGCAUCUCCGAGCUCAUCGACGUGCAGACUGUGGAGCAAAUUGUACGCCUGCUGCUGCGCAAGAACUACCCAGAGGGCGAGAGAUUUGUGCAGUUCCUCCUCUCGCAGCUCCGCGUUGACAGGGAACAGACGGGCGUGCCUUACCAGCUGCUCCGUGCGGCCAUGAGCGCCGCGCAGGAGCCGUCUGUCACGAUGGGGAUGCCAACGCGCGCGGCGCGCCGUUUUGUUGAGCGCUUCUAUCGAGACAUGGCAGUCGCGAAGGACGCAGUGCUGACGCAGCUACACAUUCAGCGCCUGGGAGUGGAGCACUACCGUGAGGUGAUCACCAUCGUCAACGCCUACCAGGAGCGGUGCAUCCAGAAAAACUUGCCCGGCAUGUUCGGCUGGGUUGCCCUGAAGCCGUUGCUGCUGUUUCUUCACUGCCUCACGGCGGACUCGAACUACGUGACGUUCUUCUGGGUCAGCGUGCAGUACAUCGAGGCGUUCGCGCACUUCCCGGGUGUGCGCAAGGUGGAGGCGGUACUGUUCGCCGUCGUCGACCGCAUCCACAGCGCCGCAGGGAAGAUCACGAACGACCUCGACGAACUCACCGACACGACGCGCUUUUCCAUCCCCAUGCUGAGGCAUGUGGACAACACGCUCAGCACGACGCACGAGUUUCUGACGGUGUUGAUUCGGGUGCAGCUCGAGUGCGAGAACGUGGCCGUGGCUCGCAAAAUGCGUGCGAUGCCGCCUGUAAUGGAGCAGGUGCAGGAUGUGCUGAACUCCGCCUCCGAGGACGUCCUCGAGGCGUGGGCGGGAGUGAUGGAUGCGCUGCUGGAGUGCGACCAGCCGGACAUGAUCCGCAAAUACUGCCUCGCGACGGUGCGCACGUUCUCCGAGCAGAUGGAGGACUUGAUGGAGGUGUCGGCGAAGGGCGAGGCAGACGAGCGGCUCAACGAGAUUCUCGACGUGUGUGACGACUUCUUUGCGGCGGUGGCCCGCCGCAAGGCCAAAGGUGGCGACGACGCCUGAGGAUAGGGGGGAUGGUGUAGGCAGAGGAGAGCCGAAACGGGUAGGACGUGAGGCUGGCGCGCCGAUUCGUCGGUGAGGGGGAAGCAGUGAAGGGGUCCGCGCGGACGCGUCGGCUUGCACACGACCCGAGCGCCCUCUUGUGUGUGUGUUUACGUGCAGGCAAAGUGCCUUUUGUGUCUCUUUCUCUCUUCCGUUCUUUCUGCUGCUGUUGUCCAACACGGCCCAAACCGCCUUCGCCACCGCGUGUCUCGUUGCGGACUCGCUUGCGCUCUUGUCUACGCACGCGUGCGCACGCGUUUCUCUCGCUCUCGUUGUGCACCUCCUUGCGUUUUUCUUGCCAUGCGCGCUUAGAUACGGUGAC